AUGAUCCAGGUCGCCCACUGCACCAAGGCCGCGGUGGCAUGGACCGCCAUCAGGGAGAUGUUCCUCUCCCAGACGCAGGCCAACAUCGUCAACACGCAGAUCGCCCUCUCCAACACCAAAAAGGGCACCACGACCAUCGCCGACUACAUCGGGCGCAUGAAGGCGCUAGGCGACGAGAUGGCUUCAGCAGGGAAGCCGCUCGACGAUGAUGACAUGGUCUCCUACAUCCUCGCUGGACUAGACUACGACUACAUCUCGUUUGUCUCUUCCAUCUGUGCUGCGAGGACCGAACCAAUCAAGGUAGCAGAACUCUACUCUCAGUUGAUUGGCUUUGAAAAACGCCUUGUUGUGUUCGAAGGUGGCAACCACUCCUCCCAGUCCUCGGCCAACGUCGUCUCCCGUGGCCGUGGUGGUUUCGGCCGAGGUGGAGGUGGCCGCGGCAAUGGUGGUCGCGGCAACGGAGGAGGUGGACGCGGCAACAGAGGCCGUGGAAAUGGAGGCCACGGCAACGGCAACGGAAACGGAGGAGUUGAUGAUCUUCCUAAAGUCACUUGCCAAAUCGGCAAGAGGCAAAACCACACCGCCCUCAAAUGCUAG
This 597-nucleotide ribosomal RNA is filed under the name Triticum aestivum (bread wheat). RNAcentral describes it as "partial small subunit ribosomal RNA". The stretch from base 196 to 337 matches the Rfam family "Small nucleolar RNA Z247". Lineage: Eukaryota; Viridiplantae; Streptophyta; Magnoliopsida; Poales; Poaceae. The record is from RNAcentral.